UGCAACACAGGCUAGGGCAAAAUGUGCCAUUAAUAGUUUUGGGAAGUUGGGAAGCAGAAGGGGAAAUGGUAAGCCACAGAAAGGUUCACAGAAUUGGCUGCCUUCUAACUAGCCACAUUUAACAAUGUGUUUACAGACAGCAGCAAAAUUUGCAACCUGGUCUUCCCAAUCAAUCCCUGGUACAAGACUGUUUCUUACCAGGGAGAAUCACAAUCACCAGCAGAAGAGAUGAUAUAGGAUAUGUUUUUGUGGAGAGACAGCCAAAAAGAUGAAGAACUUAACUCUUGGCAUAUUUCUUCUUCCAGCUAUCUCAAUUUUGAUGAAAUACAAAAGAAGAGAGGAGAUUUACAUUUGCAAACAACAGGUAAGAGGAAACGAUUGACACAAUUCAUUAUAUGAUCUGCUUUUCAGGAAGAUGUGGGCUUUCAACAUUAUCCCCAACGUUAUCCCCAUGUUUGAGCUAUCUGUGUUUCACCAUAUGGAUCAUUCUCACAAGAGGUACACAAUUACUCCACUCACAUGUCAAUUACUACAUUUGAUAUAGCUGUUUAAUCUGAACAAUUCAACCCAAAACAUUUAUUCUCCUGAGUUUGUGAUGGGCUUUAAUUUUUCACUUGCAUCAUUUUUGAGAAGCAUCAUGCUGCUCAGGGAAAAAUUCUCUGAGAAGAAAACUGUUAAGUGGAGAUCACAAGGUGUAAUGGAACUCUAGUCUAAUAUAUUAAUUGACCUGUUUUAUCUUCUGAUAGUUUCUGUUACAUUUGACCCUGCCGCCUUCAUGCAGUUAGCCUAGAAGAAUCCACCCCCUCAAAGGAGGAUUGUUUUAUCAGAACUCUGAGAAUCAGAGUUGUCAAGGCUUAGAUGCCAGGUAUUCAACAAAAGGAUCAGAGGAAUAUAUGACCAAUCCCUACCACGUAGGUUUGUUUACAUAAGUAUGUGAAUCACACACAAAACUAAAAUAUUUCAUCCAUCUGAUUCACCUGGAACCACGUGACUCUGUAUGGAAUUCUGAACUGUGGUCCACAUUUGCCCAACGAAUAACAUUUAUUUGGUGCUUGCUCUACUGUACAACUUGUAAGGAAUAAAAUGAGAAGUAGGCUACCUUACCUGUCCCCCAAGAGCUUAAAACUUCACAAAGUGAGUAAGAAAUACAUCCAGAUAAGUCUGAUAGAGGCAUUAUGUGAAAUACCAGAGAGGCACCAAUCAAUCUAAAAUGCCACAACCCAAUGGCACCUGUGUCCUUCAGAGCAUCAAAAGCUAUUAUUUUUUGUGGAGUUUCCUUGUACAUUAAUGGUUUGCCUGACUAGAACAAAUAUUAGCCUAUCUCGGUACAAUAGUUUUCCUAGCACAUAGCAAUAGCCUGGCUAUUCAAAGCAUAUUUUGUGGAAGGAAGGAAGGAAGGAAGGAAGGAAGGAAGGAAGGAAGGAAGGAAGGAAGGAAGUCAGUUAUGCCAAGGUCUAUUUUUGUUCAGUGAAAUAUCAAAUUUUAUUUUUUAAGAAUUUAGAAAAAUAGCCUUGUGUGUUAGAUUGGCUACUGCCAAGCUGGCACCACCAACAACCUCUUCCAAGCCUGAGAACUGCACUGGAAUCCUCUUGCAGAGUUAUGGAAGAGGACCUGGGAUAGACGUGGAAAGUGAAGCUAAUUUCCUGCUAAUUUUCUGAUUUUCUGGAGGUAUUUGCACACAUACACACAGACCAGGUUUGGACAUCCACCCACGAGGCUGAUAGAGUUAGUGAGGGCUUCUCGGAGAUUCUCAAGAAGUGCAGAGGCUUGCAAACAAGCUUUUGAAAACUACUCCAUGUGUUUCAGGCUGUGGGCAUCAGUGUCAUGUCUUCUGACCUUCGGGGCAGCCUCUCUGACCUUCAGUGGCAGCACUGUUGAACCCCUCCGCCCCUCCUUCCAGCUCUUCCAAAAGUUGUACAAGUUCCUAAUUAUCAAUUAAACUCUUUAUAUCUGGAACACAAAGAAUGGUUUCUAUUUCCUUGCCCAAACCUGACUUGUCCAUUCAGAAGUUUAUCCGGCCCUCACAUAUGACCACACUCACAUGAACAGUGUCUGUAUCUGGAUUAUUCCAUUUCAGUAAUUUCAGAUUAGCUUUCUCUUUGGACAAAAAGAAACCAGUCCACAGAGAGAAAAGACUUUAUUUGCACAUAAGACAAAUGAUAUUCAGUCAGUUAUUCUUUAGGAUAUCAACCUAACUCUGCUUGUAGAGUAGACAUUCAGUUCUUCUGAAUAACCAUUUUAAUUUCGUGAUGAUAGUUUUGUUGGGUAUCUCCAAUAAUUUAAAAUAAAUCUAUACCUCUCAGCAGGUAUGUUUUCAUUCCCAUUUAUAGCUGGAAAAGCUGAAACCUAUAAGAGUCAAUAGUAGCUCUGAUACAUCACAUUUCUUACUUUGGAAUAAUAUUAAAAACCCAAUAUCAUUUGAAAUAGAAGGUUUCAAAAAUAAUGGUAAUUUUUUUGUAGCCAGCCUCAUGAAUAAGAGGCCGCGCCGUGAAACUUAAUUUUAAACUUAAGAAUAUAAGCCACACAUAUUCAACUGAUUCAUUUUAACUCUUGGGAACACUUUAUUGUAUUUUCCUAAAGAUUUUUACUCAGAUUUUCCACUUCCAGAAUUUCCCAGUGCAGUUUGGUCCCAAUGCCUACCAAAUCCACUAAGAUUGCUCACAGAUAAUACCAACAGUGCAGCAAUAGCAACAAUUAAAAAAAAAAAAAAAAAAAAA
RNAcentral lists this long non-coding RNA (2717 nucleotides) under Canis lupus familiaris (dog). Its description in RNAcentral is "lncRNA (ENSCAFG00845019023.1)". Lineage: Eukaryota; Metazoa; Chordata; Mammalia; Carnivora; Canidae. The record is from RNAcentral.